RNAcentral lists this ribosomal RNA (460 nucleotides) under uncultured bacterium. RNAcentral's name for it is "partial 16S ribosomal RNA". It matches the Rfam family "Bacterial small subunit ribosomal RNA", at positions 338 to 795 of the family's 1533-position model. The record is from RNAcentral.
CCUACGGGAGGCAGCAGUGAGGAAUAUUGGUCAAUGGACGAGAGUCUGAACCAGCCAAGUAGCGUGAAGGAUGACUGCCCUAUGGGUUGUAAACUUCUUUUAUAUGGGAAUAAAAUGUUCCACGUGUGGGAUUUUGUAUGUACCAUAUGAAUAAGGAUCGGCUAACUCCGUGCCAGCAGCCGCGGUAAUACGGAGGAUCCGAGCGUUAGCCGGAUUUAUUGGGUUUAAAGGGAGCGUAGGUGGAUUGUUAAGUCAGUUGUGAAAGUUUGCGGCUCAACCGUAAAAUUGCAGUUGAAACUGGCAGUCUUGAGUACAGUAGAGGUUGGCGGAAUUCGUGGUGUAGCGGUGAAAUGCUUAGAUAUCACGAAGAACUCCGAUUGCGAAGGCAGUUCACUGGACUGCAACUGACACUGAGGCUCGAAAGUGUGGGUAUCAAACAGGAUUAGAUACCCGGGUAGUC